Molecule: ribosomal RNA, 1912 nt
Filed under: Candidatus Kerfeldbacteria bacterium CG_4_10_14_0_8_um_filter_42_10
Lineage: Bacteria; Candidatus Kerfeldiibacteriota
Description: bacterial SSU rRNA
Rfam family: Bacterial small subunit ribosomal RNA
Source: RNAcentral
UUUACUGAGAGUUUGAUCCUGGCUCAGGAUGAACGCUGGCGGCGUGUCUUAGGCAUGCAAGUCGAACGAUCCCGCGCAAGCGGGAGAGUGGCAGACGGGUGCGUAACACAUUGGUAACCUACCUCUAUCUUGGCCAUAACUCGGAGAAAUCUGAGCUAAUAGCCAAUGUGCUCAUUUUACAUAUGUGAGAUGAGCAAAGGUUUAUUCCGGAUGGAGAGGGGCCUAUGGUCUAUCAGCUAGUUGGUGAGGUAAAAGCUCACCAAGGCGACGACGGAUAGCGGGUGUGAGAGCAUGACCCGCCUCACUGGGACUGAGACACUGCCCAGACUCCUACGGGAGGCUGCAGUCAAGAAUCUUCCUCAAUGGCCGAAAGGCUGAAGGAGCGACGCCGCGUGCAGGAAGACGCCCCUUGGGGUGUAAACUGCUUUUCUAAAGGAAAAAUCUUUGAUGGUACUUUAGGAAUAAGCCACUGCUAACUUCGUGCCAGCCCGAUCAAUUUUUGAUCGUUGGCUGAAUGGUGCGAAGUCUUUAUGGCAACAUAAAGUAAGAAAAUCUCGCUAUAUGGUCCGAAUCCCACAGAUGUGGGAAACCGGAUAACGAGGAGACCGUGAGGUUGAAUCGUUCUGGAACAUCUAUAGUCGACCGCUGAUAUGUGUCGUACAAAAAUGCGACCGCGGCUAUAGACAAUCAGCAGGAAACCUAGUUGAAAAACAGGGGUUCCUCAGAGACUACACGCGAGACUCCAUGAAAAAUGGAUGAUGAUAUAGUCCAAAUUCGUCUAAUGUAAAAAAUUGGACGGGCCAGCAGCAGCGGUAAUACGAAGGUGGCAAGCGUUAUCCGGAUUUAUUGGGCGUAAAGAGUUCAAAGGCGGUCUAGAAAGUCAAAAAUAAAAUCUUAAGGCUCAACCUUAAGUUGGUUUUUGAUACUUCAAGACUAGAGGGUAGGAAAGGCAAACGGAAUUGCCGGUGUAGUAGUAAAAUGCGUUAAUAUCGGCAAGAACACCAAAGGCGAAGGCAGUUUGCUGGAAUACUCCUGACGCUAUACGAACGAAAGCGUGGGUAGCGAAUGGGAUUAGAUACCCCAGUAGUCCACGCCGUAAACGAUGGAUACUAGAUAUUGGAAGUCUCGACCCUUUCAGUAUCGUUUACCUAAGCUAACGCGUUAAGUAUCCCGCCUGGGGAGUACGGCCGCAAGGCUAAAACUCAAAGGAAUUGACGGGAACCCGCACAAGCGGUGGAGCAUGUGGUUUAAUUCGACAGUAAGCGAGGAACCUUACCAGGGCUUGACAUCCUCGGAAUUCCGCCGAAAGGUGGAGGUGCCCGCAAGGGAACCGAGUGACAGGUGCUGCAUGGCUGUCGUCAGCUCGUGUCGUGAGAUGUACGGUUAAGUCCGGAAACGAGCGCAACCCCUGUAGUAUGUUAAAGUAUUCAUACUAGACUGCCCCCUUUAAGGGGGAGGAAGGAAGGGACGACGUCAAGUCAGCAUGGUCCUCUGACGCCCUGGGCGACACACGUGCUACAAUGGCUAGUAACAAUGGGUCCUGCGAAACGGUAACGUGGAGCUAAUCCCAUCAAACCUAGUCUCAGUUCGGAUUGAGGUCUGCAAUUCGACCUCAUGAAGUCGGAAUCGCUAGUAACCGCGCAUCAGCCAUGGUGCGGUGAAUACGUUCUCGGGUUUUGUACACACCGCCCGUCACGUCAAGAGAGUCGGUAAUACCCAAAGUCCCCUCACCUUUGCCUUUAUAUAAAAGCAUUUUAUCUGUGCAUUGCUAAGAUUAUUAACAAAGCACAAAAUAAAAUUUAUUAGCAAUAUAAAAAGCAAAGGUGAGGGGCCUAAGGUAGGAUCGAUGAUAGGGACGAAGUCGUAACAAGGCAUCCGUAGCGGAAGCUGUGGAUGGAUCACCUCCUUUCUA